GAUUGAACGCUGGCGGUAUGCUUAACACAUGCAAGUCGAACGGAAACGAUACUAGCUUGCUAGUAGGCGUCGAGUGGCGGACGGGUGAGUAACGCGUAGGAAUCUGCCUGAUAGUGGGGGAUAGCCCGAAGAAAUUCGGAUUAAUACCGCAUAAUCUAUUCGUAGUAAAGUGGGGGACUUUCGAGCCUCACGCUAUCAGAUGAGCCUGCGUAAGAUUAGCUUGUUGGUAGGGUAAAAGCCUACCAAGGCGACGAUCUUUAGCUGGUCUGAGAGGAUGAUCAGCCACAUCGGGACUGAGACACGGCCCGAACUCCUACGGGAGGCAGCAGUGGGGAAUAUUGGACAAUGGGGGCAACCCUGAUCCAGCAAUACCGCGUGUGUGAAGAAGGCCUGAGGGUUGUAAAGCACUUUCAAUUGUGAAGAAAAGUUAACGGUUAAUAACCGUUAGCCUUGACGUUAACUUUAGAAGAAGCACCGGCUAACUCCGUGCCAGCAGCCGCGGUAAUACGGAGGGUGCAAGCGUUAAUCGGAAUUACUGGGCGUAAAGCGUGCGUAGGCGGUUUAUUAAGUCAGAUGUGAAAGCCCCGGGCUUAACCUGGGAACUGCAUUUGAAACUGGUCAACUAGAGUAUGGUAGAGGAAAGUGGAAUUUCUGGUGUAGCGGUGAAAUGCGUAGAUAUCAGAAGGAACAUCAAUGGCGAAGGCAGCUUUCUGGACCAAUACUGACGCUGAGGUACGAAAGCGUGGGUAGCAAACAGGAUUAGAUACCCUGGUAGUCCACGCCGUAAACGAUGAUAACUAGCCGUUGGGGGGAUUUACCCUUUAGUGGCGAAGCUAACGCGUUAAGUUAUCCGCCUGGGGAGUACGGCCGCAAGGUUAAAACUCAAAGGAAUUGACGGGGACCCGCACAAGCGGUGGAGCAUGUGGUUUAAUUCGAUGCAACGCGAAGAACCUUACCUGGUCUUGACAUCCUGCGAACUUUCUAGAAAUAGAUUGGUGCCUUCGGGAACGCAGUGACAGGUGCUGCAUGGCUGUCGUCAGCUCGUGUCGUGAGAUGUUGGGUUAAGUCCCGUAACGAGCGCAACCCCUAUCCUUAUUUGCCAGCACAUCAUGGUGGGAACUAUAAGGAGACUGCCGGUGAUAAACCGGAGGAAGGCGGGGACGACGUCAAGUCAUCAUGGCCCUUACGACCAGGGCUACACACGUGCUACAAUGGGAAGGACAAAGAGCCGCGAAGCCGCGAGGUGUAGCUAAUCUCAGAAAUCUUUUCGUAGUCCGGAUUGGAGUCUGCAACUCGACUCCAUGAAGUCGGAAUCGCUAGUAAUCGUAGAUCAGAAUGCUACGGUGAAUACGUUCCCGGGUCUUGUACUCACCGCCCGUCA
This 1381-nucleotide ribosomal RNA is filed under the name uncultured bacterium. RNAcentral's name for it is "16S ribosomal RNA". It matches the Rfam family "Bacterial small subunit ribosomal RNA", at positions 27 to 1399 of the family's 1533-position model. The record is from RNAcentral.